CCUACGGGAGGCAGCAGUGGGGGAUAUUGCACAAUGGGGGAAACCCUGAUGCAGCGACGCCGCGUGAGUGAAGACGGUCUUCGGAUUGUAAACCUCUGUCUUUGGGGACGACUUGAGACGGUACCCAAUGAGGAAGCUCCGGCAAACUACGUGUCCGCAGCCGCGGGAAUAUGUAGGGAGGAAGCGUUUUCCGGAAUUACUGGGUGAAAAGGGAGCGUAGGCGGGAUAGUAAGUUGAUUGUUAAAACUAUCGGCUCAACUGGUAGAUGCGAUCAAAACUGCAAUUCUUGAGUGAAGUAGAGGCAGGCGGAAUUCCUAGUGUAGCGGUGAAAUGCGUAGAUAUUAGGAGGAACACCAGUGGCGAAGGCGGCCUGCUGGGCUUUAACUGACGCUGAGGCUCGAAAGUGUGGGUAGCAAACAGGAUUAGAUACACUAGUAGUC
Molecule: ribosomal RNA, 440 nt
Filed under: uncultured bacterium
Lineage: Bacteria
Description: partial 16S ribosomal RNA
Rfam family: Bacterial small subunit ribosomal RNA
Source: RNAcentral